CCUACGGGUGGCUGCAGUGGGGAAUAUUGGACAAUGGGCGAAAGCCUGAUCCAGCCAUGCGGCGUGUGUGAAGAAGGCCUUCGGGUUGUAAAGCACUUUCAGUGGGGAAGAAAGCCUUGGGGCUAAUACCCUCGAGGAAGGACAUCACCCACAGAAGAAGCACCGGCUAACUCCGUGCCAGCAGCCGCGGUAAUACGGAGGGUGCGAGCGUUAAUCGGAAUUACUGGGCGUAAAGCGCGCGUAGGCGGUCUGAUAAGCCGGUUGUGAAAGCCCCGGGCUCAACCUGGGAACGGCAUCCGGAACUGUCAGGCUAGAGUGCAGGAGAGGAAGGUAGAAUUCCCGGUGUAGCGGUGAAAUGCGUAGAGAUCGGGAGGAAUACCAGUGGCGAAGGCGGCCUUCUGGACUGACACUGACGCUGAGGUGCGAAAGCGUGGGUAGCAAACAGGAUUAGAUACCCCAGUAGUC
RNAcentral lists this ribosomal RNA (465 nucleotides) under Vreelandella stevensii. RNAcentral describes it as "partial 16S ribosomal RNA". It matches the Rfam family "Bacterial small subunit ribosomal RNA", at positions 338 to 795 of the family's 1533-position model. Lineage: Bacteria; Pseudomonadati; Pseudomonadota; Gammaproteobacteria; Oceanospirillales; Halomonadaceae. The record is from RNAcentral.